UUGUAGUCAUCCACAUGAGAACCUUUCUCGGCCUUCACUGGUCGGUUGGGGGAUCAUGUACUUUACUUUGAAAAAAUCAGAGUGUUUCAGGCAGGCGUUUGCAUGAAUACACAAGCAUGGAAUAAUGGAAUAGGACUAGGGUCCAUUUUAUUGGUUAUUGGACCAUAGUAAUGAUUAAUAGGGACAGUUGGGGGCAUUAGUAUUUAAUUGUCAGAGGUGAAAUUCUUGGAUUUAUUAAAGACUAACUUAUGCGAAAGCAUUUGCCAAGGAUGUUUUCAUUAAUCAAGAACGAAAGUUAGGGGAUCAAAGACGAUCAGAUACCGUCCUAGUCUUAACUAUAAACUAUACCGACUAGGGAUUGGUUGGGUCAUUAGAGCCCAAUCAGCACCUUAUGAGAAAUCAAAGUCUUUGGGUUCUGGGGGGGAGUAUGGUCGCAAGGCUGAAACUUAAAGGAAUUGACGGAAGGGC
RNAcentral lists this ribosomal RNA (468 nucleotides) under uncultured eukaryote. RNAcentral's name for it is "SSU rRNA". It matches the Rfam family "Eukaryotic small subunit ribosomal RNA", at positions 690 to 1165 of the family's 1831-position model. The record is from RNAcentral.